Long non-coding RNA from Felis catus (domestic cat), 943 nucleotides. RefSeq lists it as uncharacterized. The transcript is spliced from 3 exons. The record is from RefSeq and is a predicted model, not a curated record. Lineage: Eukaryota; Metazoa; Chordata; Mammalia; Carnivora; Felidae.
AAGGGAGGACGAGGGGGGACAAAAAUCAGGAUAAAGCCAAGACUGUAAAACCAUUCCUGAAACCCUUGAAAGCGGCUGCAGACGGAAAGACCUAGUAGCUAAGCGAAUGCUCUGGGUAGGAGGGUGUGGGCAAGGGAAUAAAACUAGCUGAGAAGCGAGCAAAGCCUGCCUUCCCUAGGGUUCGCUCGGGCUCAGUGUGGGUCACCUCCUUGUCUGCAAGCUGCCUGUGUGCUCUGCCGCAUGGCUUCCGGAGAGAGGCUUCCUGUAGAGGAAAAAACACUGAUUCUGUUCUCCUGUUUUCAGCUUUCGAGAGCCUGUCUUGGAGAAGACAAUAGACGCUGAAGCACCACGCUGCCCGGUCAGCUAUUGGGCAUACAGAUUUGCUCGGAAAAUUCUAACUUAAUUAGCAUUAACAUUCCGGCUAAUGUGGAGAUACAGGUACUAAGUCUUUCCUCUACUGAAUGAAGCAGCAAAUCCACGGGCUUAGGAGCUGUCGGUUACUUCUAAAUUGGUAAAAAGGACCAGAGACAUUUGGCGGGGUGGUGGAGCUCUCCAGAUGAGAAAACCGAAGACCAAGGUCAUUCAGUUAAGUGGCGGGGCCAAGGGUCUUAAAAGCCGAGAUCCCCCAAGUUGACGCCCCGUUGGCGCUCUUUGCACAAACCUCUCAAAGCCAAGGGCCGGACUUUCUGUGUUAGCAUUUUCAACGUAUCUUGGGCUUCAUAUCUCAAUAACGAUCAUCAAGGUUCCUAACCAGGAAGAACAACGGAAGAUCGGGUUCCUCUUCUGUCCAAUAUAUGAGAACGACAGGUUGAGGCCAACCAAAACAGGCCUUGCUUUAUUGGGCUUGAAUUUUGAUAUAUGUCAAAAUAUAUGACAUUAAAAAAUUUUUUUAAUGUUUAUUUUUGAGAGAGAGAGAGAGAGAGAGACAGAGUGUGAGCAGGGG